UGCCAGCCGCCGCGGUAAUACGAAGGUCCCAAGCGUUGUUCGGAAUCACUGGGCGUAAAGCGCGCGUAGGCGGUUAUUUAAGUCAGAUGUGAAAGCCCCGGGCUCAACCUGGGAAUUGCCUCUGAUACUGGGUAACUAGAGUUUGGAAGAGGAGAGUAGAAUUUCAGGUGCAGCGGUGAAAUGCAUAGAGAUCUGAAGGAAUACCAGUGGCGAAGGCGACUCUCUGGUCCAAAACUGACGCUGAGGUGCGAAAGCGUGGGUAGCAAACGGGAUUAGAUA
This 279-nucleotide ribosomal RNA is filed under the name uncultured bacterium. RNAcentral's name for it is "partial 16S ribosomal RNA". It matches the Rfam family "Bacterial small subunit ribosomal RNA", at positions 506 to 784 of the family's 1533-position model. The record is from RNAcentral.